UCCAGACUCCUACGGGAGGCAGCAGUGGGGGAUAUUGCACAAUGGGGGGAACCCUGAUGCAGCGACGCCGCGUGGGUGAAGGAGUGCUUCGGCAUGUAAAGCCCUAUCGGCAGGGAAGAAGCAAGACGGUACCUGACUAAGAAGCCCCGGCUAACUACGUGCCAGCCGCCGCGGUAAUACGUAGGGGGCGAGCGUUAUCCGGAUUCACUGGGUGUAAAGGGAGCGUAGACGGCCAAGCAAGCCAGGGGUGAAAGCCCGGGGCCCAACCCCGGGACUGCAUUGGAAACUGCCGGGCUGGAGUGCCGGAGGGGUAAGCGGAAUUCCUGGUGUAGCGGUGAAAUGCGCAGAUAUCAGGAAGAACACCGGUGGCGUAGGCGGCUUACUGGACGGCAACUGACGCUGAGGCUCGAAAGCGUGGGGAGCAAACAGGAUUAGAUACCCGAGUAAGG
RNAcentral lists this ribosomal RNA (449 nucleotides) under uncultured bacterium. Its description in RNAcentral is "partial 16S ribosomal RNA". It matches the Rfam family "Bacterial small subunit ribosomal RNA", at positions 330 to 793 of the family's 1533-position model. The record is from RNAcentral.